RNAcentral lists this ribosomal RNA (504 nucleotides) under uncultured bacterium. RNAcentral describes it as "partial 16S ribosomal RNA". It matches the Rfam family "Bacterial small subunit ribosomal RNA", at positions 28 to 523 of the family's 1533-position model. The record is from RNAcentral.
GAUAAACGCUAGCGGCAGGCUUAACACAUGCAAGUCGAGGGGCAGCAUAGAUUGUAGCAAUACAAUUGGUGGCGACCGGCGCACGGGUGCGUAACGCGUAUGCAACCUACCCGUCACAGGGGGAUAAUCCGGAGAAAUCUGGUCUAAUACCCCAUAACAUAUGGAUCGGCAUCGGUUCAUGUUGAAAUUUUCGGAGGUGACGGACGGGCAUGCGUAGCAUUAGCUUGUUGGUGAGGUAACGGCUCACCAAGGCGAAGAUGCUUAGGGGGGCUGAGAGGUUUUCCCCCCACACUGGUACUGAGACACGGACCAGACUCCUACGGGAGGCAGCAGUGAGGAAUAUUGGUCAAUGGGCGCAAGCCUGAACCAGCCAUGCCGCGUGCAGGAUGACGGCUCUAUGAGUUGUAAACUGCUUUUGUACGAGGGUAAAGUGGGUUACGUGUAACCUUUUGAAAGUAUCGUACGAAUAAGGAUCGGCUAACUCCGUGCCAGCCGCCGCCGUAA